UACGGGAGGCAGCAGUGGGGAAUAUUGCACAAUGGGCGCAAGCCUGAUGCAGCCAUGCCGCGUGUAUGAAGAAGGCCUUCGGGUUGUAAAGUACUUUCAGUCGUGAGGAAGGUGUUAAGGUUAAUAACCUUAGCAAUUGACGUUAGCGACAGAAGAAGCACCGGCUAACUCCGUGCCAGCAGCCGCGGUAAUACGGAGGGUGCGAGCGUUAAUCGGAAUUACUGGGCGUAAAGGGCACGCAGGCGGUUAAUUAAGUUGGAUGUGAAAUCCCCGGGCUUAACCUGGGAAUGGCAUUCAAGACUGGUUAGCUAGAGUCUUGUAGAGGGGGUAGAAUUCCAUGUGUAGCGGUGAAAUGCGUAGAGAUGUGGAGGAAUACCGGUGGCGAAGGCGGCCCCGUGGACAAAGACUGACGCUCAUGUGCGAAAGCGUGGGGAGCAAACGAGGAUUAGAUACC
RNAcentral lists this ribosomal RNA (454 nucleotides) under uncultured bacterium. Its description in RNAcentral is "bacterial SSU rRNA". It matches the Rfam family "Bacterial small subunit ribosomal RNA", at positions 340 to 786 of the family's 1533-position model. The record is from RNAcentral.